AGAGUGAACGCUGGCGGUAGGCCUAACACAUGCAAGUCGAACGGCAGCACAGUGGUAGCAAUACCAUGGGUGGCGAGUGGCGGACGGGUGAGGAAUACAUCGGAAUCUACCUUUUCGUGGGGGAUAACGUAGGGAAACUUACGCUAAUACCGCAUACGCCCUUUGGGGGAAAGCCGGGGAUCGCAAGACCUGGCGCGGAUAGAUGAGCCGAUGUCGGAUUAGCUAGUUGGUGAGGUAAUGGCUCACCAAGGCGACGAUCCGUAGCUGGUCUGAGAGGAUGAUCAGCCACACUGGAACUGAGACACGGUCCAGACUCCUACGGGAGCAGCAGUGGGAAUAUUGGACAAUGGGCGCAAGCCUGAUCCAGCCAUACCGGCGUGGGUAGAAGAAGGCCUUGGUUGUAAAGCCCUUUUGUUGGAAAGAAAGCAAUCGGUUAAUACCCGGUUGUUCGUAGACGUAACCCAAAGAAUAAGCACCGUCUAACUUCGUGCC
This 492-nucleotide ribosomal RNA is filed under the name uncultured soil bacterium. RNAcentral describes it as "bacterial SSU rRNA". It matches the Rfam family "Bacterial small subunit ribosomal RNA", at positions 26 to 509 of the family's 1533-position model. The record is from RNAcentral.